GGGGUUGUGGCUCAGCGGUGGAGCGCUCUCCUAGCACGUGUGAGGCUCUGGGUUCGAUCCUCAGCACCA
This 69-nucleotide transfer RNA is filed under the name Ictidomys tridecemlineatus (thirteen-lined ground squirrel). Its description in RNAcentral is "Spermophilus tridecemlineatus (thirteen-lined ground squirrel) tRNA". It matches the Rfam family "tRNA". From Rfam's summary of the family: Transfer RNA (tRNA) molecules are approximately 80 nucleotides in length. Their secondary structure includes four short double-helical elements and three loops (D, anti-codon, and T loops). The record is from Rfam by way of RNAcentral. Lineage: Eukaryota; Metazoa; Chordata; Mammalia; Rodentia; Sciuridae.